Molecule: non-coding RNA, 162 nt
Filed under: Phocaeicola vulgatus
Lineage: Bacteria; Pseudomonadati; Bacteroidota; Bacteroidia; Bacteroidales; Bacteroidaceae
Source: RNAcentral
UGCUAUUCGGAUUAAAAGGGAAUCGGGUGCAAAUCCCGGACAGUCCCGCUGCUGUGAAACUCUGCUGGAAUCUUGAAAAAUACCUUUGCCACUGAUGUGACAAUCCUCACAUCGGGAAGGCUUCAAGAUAAGGAGUCAGUCAGAAGACCUGCCAUUCAUUAA